GAAAGAACCAAGCAACACGCGUCGCUCAGUAUCCGGAUUCACGUUUUCCAAUUCCUUCUAAUGCGGGACACCGAAGAGGAAGGAUGUGGCACAGUGGCUUCUCUUGUUGGUACACGUGGCCAGGAUCUUGAAUGAGAUGGCUGCUCUGUGGUUGGCUGGUGACGAGGAAGGAUGCCCUGCUUAUGACUAGUACAGUCCAGUAGUUGGCAAGAGGUCAGCCUUUGGCUAAAGACGGCUUGAGUUGAGAUGGCUGCUCUGUGGUUGGCUGGUGAUGAGGAAGGAUCCCCUACUUAUGACUAGUUCAGUCCAGUAGUUGGCAAGAGGUCAGCCUUUGGCCAGAGACAGCUUGAGUUGAGAUGGCUGCUCUGUGGUUGGCUGGUGACAAGGAAGGAUGCCCUGCUUAUGACUAGUCCAGUCCAGUAGUUGGCCCAGAGACAGCUUGAGUUGAGAUGGCUGUUCUGUGGUUGGCUGGUGACGAGGAAAGAUGCCCUGCUUAUGACUAGUUCAGUCCAGUAGUUGGCAAGAUGUCAGCCGUUGGCCAGAGACGGCUGAGAUGAGAUGGCUGCUCUGUGGUUGGCUGGUGAUGAGGAAGGAUCCCCUACUUAUGACUAGUUCAGUCCAGUAGUUGGCAAGAGGUCAGCCUUUGGCCAGAGACGGCUUGAGUUGAGAUGGCUGCUCUGUGGUUGGCUGGUGACGAGGAAGGAUCCCCUACUUAUGACUAGUCCAGUCCAGUAGUUGGCAAGAGGUCAGCCUUUGGCCAGAGACAGCUCGAGUUGAGCCAGCUGCUCUGGGGACUGCGUUAUGUGAGCAAAGGGAAGAAUGCAGCAUUAUAUGGUAAGUUUGGCAAUACAGUAUUGGAAUUAUAAAUUUCUGAAUGUUUUGUACUUUCCUGAUCAUCUGUAAAUUUAUUGAAGUAUUUUAAUGUAUAUUUGUAAGAAUAAAAAUAUAACCUCAAAUGUGUUUGCUUAUCAUAUUGCGAGUACUUAGGAAAUUGAUGGUUCAAGGAGGAUUUUAUCCUAUUUAUGAUUGGCAUUUGGAGCAAGUAAUAUGUUGCAAGGUGAUUGGUGAAUGCCUUGCUUCCUUUUUGGCUACAAUAUAGGCUCUUGCAUUUACUAGUGGAAGAGCAAGAGUAUAGUGAUAAGUAUGCUUAGCCAUGGAGGCUGAAACAUCCAGUGAAGGUGAAAAAUCUACAAAUGAUGGUAAGAGGAAGGAUAUGAUUUGAGGAAAAGUCCUGUAGAGAUAAGAGGAUGUAUAUAUCAAUCCAAUGAAUAAUUUUAUUUACAAUUACUACAACAUUUUUCAUCUAAAAUCCAAGCCACAUGCAUCACAUCACUCAUUUCCAUACAACCUUUUGCUUGUUCAAGUUCAUCUGAAUAAUUAUAUUACCAUGAACAUGUAAUCAAGCUGUUACACCAGGGUGAUUUCUAAAGCUUUAAAGAUAUUGCCUACCCCCCCCCCACCACC
Long non-coding RNA from Portunus trituberculatus (swimming crab), 1464 nucleotides. RefSeq lists it as uncharacterized. The transcript has 8 exons. The record is from RefSeq and is a predicted model, not a curated record. Lineage: Eukaryota; Metazoa; Arthropoda; Malacostraca; Decapoda; Portunidae.